RNAcentral lists this signal recognition particle RNA (313 nucleotides) under Candidatus Bathyarchaeota archaeon RBG_13_60_20. RNAcentral describes it as "signal recognition particle sRNA". It matches the Rfam family "Archaeal signal recognition particle RNA". Lineage: Archaea; Thermoproteati; Candidatus Bathyarchaeota. The record is from RNAcentral.
CGGUAGGUAGGACCGGGGAGCUAGCCCUGCCCCCACGCCUCUAACGGGCUACAAGAGGGGUCAGUAACCUUCGAUGGGAUCGGGGGCGCGGCGCGUAAGGCGCACCGCCCUCCGUCGAUGUCCUGCCCCGCGGGGCCGGCGGCUGCCCCGCCUGCACUCGUAGGGGCGCAGGCGGGCACUCGACGGGCGAACCUGGCCAGGCCCGGGAGGGAGCAACCUAAGUCCGAACGUUUGGCGCUCGCGGGAACACGGGGCGGAGGAGGGUGAUGCGUGUCUGUGCGCCGCAAUCCCGUGAACGGAGGGGGGGCUGCCG